RNAcentral lists this long non-coding RNA (210 nucleotides) under Elaeis guineensis (African oil palm). RNAcentral describes it as "long non-coding RNA (EGUI_LNC066259)". The record is from RNAcentral. Lineage: Eukaryota; Viridiplantae; Streptophyta; Magnoliopsida; Arecales; Arecaceae.
GGCCAUCACUGGGGCGUGCCAUGUGGAAUCUGCCGUGGGAAGUGGGGCGCGGAUGCUGUCGCAUCUUGCCAGCAGAUCGUGCGAUAUCCGUUGCAAGAGGUGGAGCAGAAUCGCGGCCAUUUAUCAUGGCCUGUCAGGUAGUAAUGGAGCCGCGUGGGCGUGGGAUCCGUCACAGGGAGUGGAGCAGUGUUGCGACCGUUACUGCGGCUU